This 73-nucleotide transfer RNA is filed under the name Marmota monax (woodchuck). RNAcentral's name for it is "tRNA.Ala". It matches the Rfam family "tRNA". Rfam says of the family: Transfer RNA (tRNA) molecules are approximately 80 nucleotides in length. Their secondary structure includes four short double-helical elements and three loops (D, anti-codon, and T loops). Further hydrogen bonds mediate the characteristic L-shaped molecular structure. tRNAs have two regions of fundamental functional importance: the anti-codon, which is responsible for specific mRNA codon recognition, and the 3' end, to which the tRNAs corresponding amino acid is attached (by aminoacyl-tRNA synthetases). tRNAs cope with the degeneracy of the genetic code in two manners: having more than one tRNA (with a specific anti-codon) for a particular amino acid; and 'wobble' base-pairing, i.e. permitting non-standard base-pairing at the 3rd anti-codon position. The record is from RNAcentral. Lineage: Eukaryota; Metazoa; Chordata; Mammalia; Rodentia; Sciuridae.
GUGGGGCUGUAGCUCAGUGGUAGAGCGCCUACCUUGCAAGUAUGAGGCACUGGGUUCGAUCCUCAGCACCACA